RNAcentral lists this long non-coding RNA (495 nucleotides) under Canis lupus familiaris (dog). RNAcentral's name for it is "lncRNA (ENSCAFG00030023574.1)". Lineage: Eukaryota; Metazoa; Chordata; Mammalia; Carnivora; Canidae. The record is from RNAcentral.
AUGCCCACCGGGCGAGCCCAGGAAACAAAGCUGCUCAGAGAGGCCGCCGCCCCGGGCCGCCUGAUGACAAGUCCCUGCCCGGCCCGACGUUCCUCCGCGGACAAGCCCAGACGGUGCCGAGACCUUCAAGCAGGUGCCGACCCGACCGUCCCAGGAGCGCUUUGCACCCCGAAGUGUACUCCAGGGAUCCACUCUUGCCUCUGCCUCUGCAUCAGCCGCGCCGACAUCUAUGCACACCAGACACCCCACCAUCCACAGCUGAAGCAGGAUUCCCUGUUAGGAUGCGGAGACCACCUGAAUCCUCUUGGUCCCGCUUUUGGUACACCGGAGCAUCAUGAAAACGAAUUACCAGAUUUAAACAUUAGGAUUCCUGUUGAAGUAUGCAGCAAAGAACAAGUAUUAUCUACAGAAACUGAAGCUCAAGGAGUUUACACUUCUACGUCCAAACAUACUUCACAUAUGCCUAGUGAGGGUAGGAAUAAAACAUCCUUAUAA